This 3021-nucleotide long non-coding RNA is filed under the name Nicotiana tabacum (common tobacco). Its description in RNAcentral is "long non-coding RNA (NTAB_LNC011224)". The record is from RNAcentral. Lineage: Eukaryota; Viridiplantae; Streptophyta; Magnoliopsida; Solanales; Solanaceae.
CUAAAACUUGUUCUCUUAACCUUAGAACAUAUCAAAAUGUCCAUAUACCUUCUCGUAGCUUCGUCCCCUUGAAACCCUAACCCCUCCAGCGAGUCACUCCUGCAAGGCACUCUGUCAAGGCUCUAGUAUAUCUCUUCAACCUCACAGAGUCUAGGGAAAGUAAUAUUUUGGGAGCGGCAAAGAGUCAAGGUCUGGUUCUUUCAGGUUUCCCAUCUUGAAGGGUGUGCUGAAUGGUGCAAGAGUCACUUUCCUCUGAGAUCCAUGUAUCUGCUACUAGCUGAAGUGAGACCAUCAAAGUUCUCUGUGCUUGGGUAAGUUACAAACCUUGUUUUAUUAAGAUUUUAUUUUGUAAUUUAUCUCUAAAUGGGUGAAUAAAUUCUUUGGUUAAUAUCCAAUUAGGUACCCUAACUAUGUUGGUAGAAAAAAGAACUGGAAUUUCCUAAGUGUGUCAUCUGAUCCUGUUUAUGGUAUUUGCGAGCUUGUAUGCUUGAUUGAUUUUUCACUCUUGAGCUCUUGAAUUUCACUGUAUUAUGUCUGCUUUGUUAUUACAUAUUAUCCUUGUGCUAUUUCAAGAGAAGUUUUGAAGUAAAUGGGUAUAACUGUAGAUUUAAUUAAUGGCACUACCUAGGAGUGAAAUGUUUGUAGCGUAUUGAAUUGAGGUUUCAAAAAAUUUGGGGGAAAAUCUGCUCCAUAUUUGUUGAAGCAGUAUUAUAAUUUUUAGGCUCACAAGUGUUUGAAAGUAGUUCUCAAUGAAUUUCUUUGACUGUCGUAUACAAAUAAUGCUGCAAUUGAAGAAAGGUUGAGUGCAUAUUAGCAUGUUCGUUUGUACUUUAAGCUUAUUGUAUUGAUCAUUCUAUCUAAUCAUUCAUGAGACCGAAACUCAAAAAAUGAGAUUUCAGUAAAUGAGAGAUUCCACCUACUUAUAGUUCGCAGAAAAUAGCACCAGUAAAUUACUUCCUUUUUUCACUAUUAUGCAUUAAUCUUUAUAAAUAUAUCGUAUUUCUUGGCAUGCCAAAACUUAUAUUACUAGUGUGGUUUAUGAAGAGGCUACGAGAGAAGAAGAAAGUGAUGAAAAAGAGAAUGAAAUGACUAAUGAAUACUAUGAAGAUGGAUCUUCAGAUGCAGACAUAGGUGAUGGUGAAGGCUAGUAUUCCCCGAGAGGCAAUUUAUUUCCGAAAAUAAUACAGAGAGGAAAAGCUCUUGAGGUAUCAUGACCCUUUUUUUACUCUCUUUCUUGAGUUGUUAUAUUGGUGUUGAUUGGACUACAUGGAUGUAUGGAAAUAACCAUCUGAAAUGCAAGGUUAUUUCCAUAAAUUAAGUGAAAUACUUGCAAAAUGGUAGAUCUCAUGUCAAAAUGGAGUUUUUACUUUAAGAUAUCUCUGUGGCAUAUAAUAUAUCAAUAAUAAAAAUUGGAAAUUCUUUUAGAUUCACUGUAUAAUCAUUGUCACUAGGAACUUAGGAAGGUAGUUUUACUUCUACUUAUAAUGUUUAUCUACAGGGUGCAUUUAUAUUAAAGUUCAUACAAUUUGAGUUCCUAUAUCAACCUAGAAAGCAAAAAAAAAAAAAAAAAAAAAUUAAAAAAAAAAAGUCAAAUACAAUAUGAUUAGUCACGGACAUAUUGACAUGGUAAACUUUGAGAAAUGAUACAACAAAGGAAUGACACAUAUCAAUUUCGUAGCAUAGAGAAUCAUAAAUAUAUCAUACAUUGAAAUGUUGAAAUAGAAAUGUGGAACAUAUAAUAUAAAGAAAUGUGAUGAUAGCGAAAUAGUCAAGGCACGCACAAAGCCUAGAUGCCACUACUAGGAAAAAAGAAAAAAAAUGUUGAGACAGAAAAGAUAGGAUAAUCUCAUGCAUAAAAAUUAAUAGGAAGUAUCUUUUUUGGUAGUAAUAAAUUUUUUGAUCUAUUCAAACAAGACAAUUAUCUUCUCCAUCCACCAAAGCAAUCAUGUUCAGUUCCUGCAACAAUGCUUCCAAUGCAUCAAUCUCCCAAUGCCUCUUAAACAUUAGCUACCAAAUACUUUCACUGUUAAGCUUUCAACUGACUUGCCUCUAAAUCUUCGUGACAUUAAUUAAGAUAAAUAUUUUAUGAAAUUGGAUCUACUUUACUAAAGAGCAUUCUUCGAGACAUGUUUCAAGUGACAAUAAGUUGUUUUUUUGAUUGUGCCAAUAACUGUGUAGUUGGACUUGUUUUUUCUUUUUCCAGAUACAUUUUUAAUGUGUGAAUGAAAGUUGUGCGGUUUAGUUAAUUAUAUAGAAGUCCUUUAUAUAUGGUAAUCACUUAUCCUCUUGUAAAUUGAAGCGAUGUCGUUUCUAUUCUUGUUGUUCCUAUGGUAGCAAAGUAAUAAAUAAUGGUCCUUGAAGUGCCUGCAAAACUGAUUAUUGUCCCAACUGAAAGUUGAGUUCCCAUGGUAAAACUAUAAUGAGUCUUUAGAUAUUGUAUCAUUGCGUAUGUUUAAUUUUAGGUACAGAAAUAUCUGCAUCAAGUCUUUGAUUCCAUAUAGAAAAUAAAGCUUGCAGUGAUAACAUGGCCAACUCAAUUUACAUGCAGCUUUUAAUUUGAAGGAGGCUAAUUAGUUUUAAACUAUUUUUCUCUUGUAGGAAUGUCAAAGCUUCAGCCCAAAACUUGCAUAUAAUCCCUAUAAUGAGCCCAACAUUGAAGUUUUCAUGUUGUAAAAGUAUAUUUAUCCAUUUUGAUGAAACUAUUAUUUUUUGUCAGGUUAAUAUAUUUUUAAAUGUUGUCUUAUUCCAACACUUAGUUCAUCUCUAGGACUGCUUUGAAUUUGCAGUUCUGGAGUGCUUUGAAUUUGCAGUUGCGAAGUUUUAUUGACUUCCUUGAUCUGAAUUGCAUUGUUAAACAUUACAACACCAUUUUGAUUGCAGUCAAUAAUCUUCUUUAACUGGCCAUAUGUAGGGCCUUUAAUUCAUCUCUGGGUUGGAGUUGGAAAAUUUGAUUUAAGUUAUUUUUCGUUAUAGAACUAGCAUAUUUAGGGAUGGAUUUCCAAUCAGUGAUCUCUCUUCUAA